RNAcentral lists this ribosomal RNA (253 nucleotides) under uncultured bacterium. RNAcentral describes it as "partial 16S ribosomal RNA". It matches the Rfam family "Bacterial small subunit ribosomal RNA", at positions 524 to 776 of the family's 1533-position model. The record is from RNAcentral.
UACGUAGGGUGCAAGCGUUAAUCGGAAUUACUGGGCGUAAAGCGUGCGCAGGCGGCUUUGCAAGACAGAUUUGAAAUCCCCGGGCUCAACCUGGGAACUGCAUUUGUGACUGCAUGGCUGGAGUGCGGCAGAGGGGGAUGGAAUUCCGCGUGUAGCAGUGAAAUGCGUAGAUAUGCGGAGGAACACCGAUGGCGAAGGCAAUCCCCUGGGCCUGCACUGACGCUCAUGCACGAAAGCGUGGGGAGCAAACAGG